RNAcentral lists this ribosomal RNA (446 nucleotides) under uncultured bacterium. Its description in RNAcentral is "bacterial SSU rRNA". It matches the Rfam family "Bacterial small subunit ribosomal RNA", at positions 330 to 793 of the family's 1533-position model. The record is from RNAcentral.
UCCAGACUCCUACGGGAGGCAGCAGUGGGGGAUAUUGCACAAUGGGGGAAACCCUGAUGCAGCGACGCCGCGUGAGUGAAGAAGUAAUUCGUUACGUAAAGCUCUAUCAGCAGGGAAGAAAAUGACGGUACCUGACUAAGAAGCCCCGGCUAACUACGUGCCAGCAGCCGCGGUAAUACGUAGGGGGCAAGCGUUAUCCGGAAUCACUGGGUGUAAAGGGAGCGUAGACGGCUGUGCAAGCCUGAAGUGAAAGGCGGGGGCCCAACCCCUGGACUGCUUUGGGAACUGUACGGCUGGAGUGCAGGAGAGGUAAGUGGAAUUCCUAGUGUAGCGGUGAAAUGCGUAGAUAUUAGGAGGAACACCAGUGGCGAAGGCGGCUUACUGGACUGUAACUGACGUUGAGGCUCGAAAGCGUGGGGAGCAAACAGGAUUAGAUACCCGUGUAA